CUGUAGUGGGGGAUAGCCCGGCGAAAGCCGGAUUAAUACCGCAUACGAUCUGUGGAUGAAAGCGGGGGAUCCUUCGGGACCUCGCGCUACAGGGGCGGCCGAUGGCAGAUUAGCUAGUUGGUGGGGUAAAGGCCUACCAAGGCGACGAUCUGUAGCUGGUCUGAGAGGACGACCAGCCACACUGGGACUGAGACACGGCCCAGACUCCUACGGGAGGCAGCAGUGGGGAAUUUUGGACAAUGGGCGCAAGCCUGAUCCAGCAAUGCCGCGUGUGUGAAGAAGGCCUUCGGGUUGUAAAGCACUUUUGUCCGGAAAGAAAACCUCGUGGUUAAUACCCGUGGGGGAUGACGGUACCGGAAGAAUAAGCACCGGCUAACUACGUGCCAGCAGCCGCGGUAAUACGUAGGGUGCAAGCGUUAAUCGGAAUUACUGGGCGUAAAGCGUGCGCAGGCGGCUCGCUAAGACAGAUGUGAAAUCCCCGGGCUUAACCUGGGAACUGCAUUUGUGACUGGCGGGCUAGAGUAUGGCAGACGGGGGUAGAAUUCCACGUGUAGCAG
Molecule: ribosomal RNA, 557 nt
Filed under: uncultured beta proteobacterium
Lineage: Bacteria; Pseudomonadati; Pseudomonadota; Betaproteobacteria
Description: bacterial SSU rRNA
Rfam family: Bacterial small subunit ribosomal RNA
Source: RNAcentral